AAUGUCUGUACCCAUGGUUGCCAAGCCGCGAGGUGGAGCUAAUCCCAGAAAACCGAUCGUAGUCCGGAUCGCAGUCUGCAAGUCGACUGCGUGAAGUCGGAAUCGCUGGUAAUCGCGAAUCAGAAUGUCGCGGUGAAUACGUUCCCGGGCCUUGUACACACCGCCCGUCACACCAUGUGAGUGUGGUUGCACCAGAAGUAGCUAGUCUAACCUUCGUGAUGACGGUACCACGGUUGA
This 237-nucleotide ribosomal RNA is filed under the name Pseudomonas sp. Its description in RNAcentral is "partial 16S ribosomal RNA". It matches the Rfam family "Bacterial small subunit ribosomal RNA", at positions 1229 to 1466 of the family's 1533-position model. The record is from RNAcentral. Lineage: Bacteria; Pseudomonadati; Pseudomonadota; Gammaproteobacteria; Pseudomonadales; Pseudomonadaceae.